GUGGCGGACGGGUGAGUAACGCGUGGGUAACCUGCCUUGUACCGGGGGACAACAGUUGGAAACGACUGCUAAUACCGCAUAAGCGCACAGCUUCGCAUGAAGCAGUGUGAAAAACUCCGGUGGUACAAGAUGGACCCGCGUCUGAUUAGCUGGUUGGUGAGGUAACGGCCCACCAAGGCAACGAUCAGUAGCCGGCCUGAGAGGGUGAACGGCCACAUUGGGACUGAGACACGGCCCAAACUCCUACGGGAGGCAGCAUG
RNAcentral lists this ribosomal RNA (260 nucleotides) under uncultured bacterium. Its description in RNAcentral is "partial 16S ribosomal RNA". It matches the Rfam family "Bacterial small subunit ribosomal RNA", at positions 95 to 353 of the family's 1533-position model. The record is from RNAcentral.